CGGAAAACUAAAAUGGCUGUGAGUUAGGGGGUUUGUGGGUUGAGCAUGUCGACUGGUGUCACCGGGAGGAUGGCUAUGCAAACUCCCACAGAUGGAACUCCUACUUCUAAAGGAGGGUCAACCUCAAGACGUAGAGUCCAUUUUCAGAGUACAGGGUUUCCACUAAGAGGUUUAACUUCUGCGCGAAGGCAUACACCAUUUCGUCAAGCUCCAUCAAAGAGAAGGAUACCCCAGAACAAAUCUGUGGAGGAAAAUGUUGAUCCAUCGAAAAUUGGUCUCUUACUACGCAAGCAGUGGCGCCUGUACAGUGUGACCCCAUUGCACAAGUUUUCAGAUACUAACCUGAAAGAUUAUGCCAGGCUUCUUACUGCCCACAUUGCUGCUGAAAAGCAGAAAGGACUUGCUGUUGAGGUGGGCUUGGAAAUGAAUCUGAAAGUUGCUUUUUCCAGUCUUCCAUGGCUCAAAGGAAGAGACAGAGAUCCUGGUGGAAUUCUUAUUCAAGUUUCAGCCAAACCUCAGUUCUCUGCGGCGGACUCAGAAGACAGAAUUCUUUGGUCAGGCUUGUUCUGUUGCACCUUUGGAGAUGAGGGCAUGUUAGAUCUUUUACCAGAGACUAUGAUCAGCCUGCCUUUAUUUCUCUCCAAUGGGUCAGAGACUUUCACAGCAACAGUGGGAAUGUGGUUUCAGAGGACUUUUGAUUGUUCAUUCAGUAACUUGCCAAUUAGUGCUCAUGACUUGGCGUGGAUGACUGCCAUGUGGACUGGUUAUGAUGUGUAUGGACAUGCUGCUGCAACUGAGCUGGUCUUCUCAGUGCCAUGUGAACCACAGAAACUGGACAUUUCUUAUGCUAUCCAUCCAGAUGAUGUUCGGGCCCUUUGGGACGACAUUCACAAAAGUCAGGAUGAGGUCACAGAGGAAGAAGUUGACCUUUUUUUCCAGUGUCUAUAUUCGCACUUUUUCCGACAUUUUAAAAUUCACUUAUCGGCAGCACGUCUGGUGAAGGUGACUACAUCUGUUGCUUCUGCACAUUGUGAUGGCAAUGUAAAGGUUUUCACAACAUGAGGGUGCUAGUUCAUGUGGACCAUAUAGAUAACAUUGUGGUCACGCUGUGGGUUGUGGAUGACACUGCACUAUUUGGCUAAAAUGCAAGUCAAUAGAUAAUAACCAUGGGAUCAGGGGCUGUCAAGAAGCUUAUAUACAAGUUUCUGUGUAAAGAACAUCUGAUUCGAGUGCUUGCCCUUCUCACCGAGCUAGCCCUUAAUUUGCAGUAUUGACCUUCUUAACAAGCAUCUUCCAGGAUUUGUCUUUUAAAAAUCUGCCCACCCUGUAUAUAAAGGAGCUGGAUACAUCUGCCCUCUGGCUUUUGAAUGCAUUACUCUUUGUUAGACUUAUGGAAGAGCAGUAUAGCUGUAUUAUGUUAAUGCAUCAUCGUGCCUAAUAUUCCACAGGACAAUUAUUUAUAUUUUUAUGCUUUUAAGGAACUUGCACUUUUUCUAUGGAAGGUUAUGCAUUAAUGUUUUUAUAUAGUGCCAUCCUUCAUAUUUGUCAUACCUCCUUCAAAUAAACUUUUUUCUCAUGUC
RNA transcript from Bombina bombina (fire-bellied toad), 1580 nucleotides. It is a transcript of the gene named centromere protein L, with no coding region annotated. The record is from RefSeq and is a predicted model, not a curated record. The transcript is spliced from 6 exons. NCBI's taxonomy places the organism in Eukaryota, Metazoa, Chordata, Amphibia, Anura, Bombinatoridae.